Molecule: long non-coding RNA, 100 nt
Organism: Thalassophryne amazonica
Lineage: Eukaryota; Metazoa; Chordata; Actinopteri; Batrachoidiformes; Batrachoididae
Exons: 3
Source: RefSeq, a predicted model, not a curated record
AGCAGUGCAAAAGACCCUAUAGCCACCUUGACACUUGCACAAAUUUAAUCCCUGCACAGCCGCACAGUUCGUUGUGCCAGUGUGACCCGGUUUGUCCCGC